CAAUUUUAUCUGAUAAGCCAGAGAAAGUCCAGAAGUGGAAUUACAAAUGACAGGCCAAGAGAAUGAUUUGGGAAACGAAAUUUGAGAAAGGAUUUUUUUUCCUCUUCUCUUCUCUUCUCUUCUCUUCUCUUCUCUUCUCUUCUCUUCUCUUCUCUUCUCUUCUCUUCUCUUCUCUUCUCUUCUCUUGAAGAUGCUGAGCUUGUCAACUGGAAAGCUGGCAGCCCAGGUUCAAGACCCGAAUGCUGUGCAACAGCCAAUAUGGAUUUCCAGAUUCUCAAAAAAAUUAUGGAAAAUUCUAUGCUGUGAAAUUGUAACUCAUCUUUUCUCAAAGUCCUGCCAUCCCUCCUCCACUUGCAACAUUCUAAGCUUUUGAAGAAGUUUGAAGUAUCUAUACAUGAAGUUGUAGAAGCAGAAGACAGAGAGGAGAAUAGAGGGGCACUUUUUAGAAGCAAAAAAAUAGGAAGUCUGCUGUGUAUUUACUAUUCCUUAUGUGCAUGUGCAGAAAAUCACAUAUUUGCCUCUUCUCAUUACAUAAUGUUUUAUAUAAUUAAUUAGCAACAGAACCUCCAUUAAAUGUACCAUAUAAAUACAAAUC
Molecule: long non-coding RNA, 595 nt
Organism: Pantherophis guttatus
Lineage: Eukaryota; Metazoa; Chordata; Lepidosauria; Squamata; Colubridae
Source: RefSeq, a predicted model, not a curated record